GGGGUGCGUCCCAAAAUCGCUGUGUGAUCGGGCUCAGAGGGCCGAGGGCCGCCUCGCGGAGGAGCGAGGCCUGCGGCUCCGCCGGCCCCGCCGCAUAGAGGAGGCGGCGGGGGGGGAAUGGGAGGGCGCGGAGGGCGCGGGGCUACUGCAGGGGGCGCGGGCAGCCCCUCCCGGCGCCGCGCUCCAUGGCCCCGCCGCGCUCGGCCUUCGGCUCCGGC
Molecule: long non-coding RNA, 218 nt
Filed under: Gallus gallus (chicken)
Lineage: Eukaryota; Metazoa; Chordata; Aves; Galliformes; Phasianidae
Source: RNAcentral